This 345-nucleotide unclassified non-coding RNA is filed under the name soil metagenome. Its description in RNAcentral is "partial contains 5.8S ribosomal RNA, internal transcribed spacer 2, and large subunit ribosomal RNA". The stretch from base 1 to 120 matches the Rfam family "5.8S ribosomal RNA", at positions 35 to 154 of the family's 154-position model. The record is from RNAcentral.
GAUGAAGAACGCAGCGAAAUGCGAUAAGUAAUGUGAAUUGCAGAAUUCCGUGAAUCAUCGAAUUUUUGAACGCACAUUGCGCCCUCUGGUAUUCCGGAGGGCAUGCCUGUCCGAGCGUCAUUGCUGCCCUCAAGCACGGCUUGUGUGUUGGGCCCCGCCCCCCGAUCCCGGGGGGCGGGCCCGAAAGGCAGCGGCGGCACCGCGUCCGGUCCUCGAGCGUAUGGGGCUUUGUCACCCGCUCUGUAGGCCCGGCCGGCGCCUGCCGAUCAACCAAACUUUUUUCCAGGUUGACCUCGGAUCAGGUAGGGAUACCCGCUGAACUUAAGCAUAUCAAUAAGCGGAGGA